Molecule: ribosomal RNA, 301 nt
Filed under: uncultured bacterium
Lineage: Bacteria
Description: partial 16S ribosomal RNA
Rfam family: Bacterial small subunit ribosomal RNA
Source: RNAcentral
CAGUCGCCGCGGUAAUACGAAGGGUGCAAGCGUUAAUCGGAAUUACUGGGCGUAAAGCGUGCGUAGGCGGUGAGUUAAGUCUGCUGUGAAAUCCCCGGGCUCAACCCGGGAAUUGCAGUGGAUACUGGCUCGCUAGAGUGUGUCAGAGGAUGGUGGAAUUCCCGGUGUAGCGGUGAAAUGCGUAGAGAUCGGGAGGAACAUCAGUGGCGAAGGCGGCCAUCUGGGACAACGCUGACGCUGAGGCACGAAAGCGUGGGGAGCAAACAGGAUUAGAUACCCGUGUAGUCCCUGUCUCUUAUAC